Molecule: ribosomal RNA, 437 nt
Filed under: uncultured Clostridium sp.
Lineage: Bacteria; Bacillati; Bacillota; Clostridia; Eubacteriales; Clostridiaceae
Description: partial 16S ribosomal RNA
Rfam family: Bacterial small subunit ribosomal RNA
Source: RNAcentral
ACGGAAGGCAGCAGUGGGGGAUAUUGCACAAUGGAGGAAACUCUGAUGCAGCAACGCCGCGUGAGGGAAGAAGGUUUUCGGAUUGUAAACCUCUGUUUUUAGUGAAGAAACAAAUGACGGUAGCCAAAGAGGAAGCCACGGCUGACUACGUGCCAGCAGCCGCGGUAAUACGUAGGUGGCAAGCAUUGUCCGGAUUUACUGGGUGUAAAGGGUGCGCAGGCGGGACUGCAAGUUGGAUGUGAAAAUCCGAGGCUCAACCUCGGAACUGCAUCCAAAACUGUGGUUCUUGAGUGGAGCAGAGGUAAGCGGAAUUCCGAGUGUAGCGGUGAAAUGCGUAGAUAUUCGGAGGAACACCAGUGGCGAAGGCGGCUUACUGGGCUGUAACUGACGCUGAGGCACGAAAGCAUGGGUAGCAAACAGGAUUAGAUACCCUGGUA